This 445-nucleotide ribosomal RNA is filed under the name uncultured bacterium. Its description in RNAcentral is "bacterial SSU rRNA". It matches the Rfam family "Bacterial small subunit ribosomal RNA", at positions 330 to 792 of the family's 1533-position model. The record is from RNAcentral.
GCCAGACUCCUACGGGAGGCAGCAGUGGGGAAUAUUGCACAAUGGGGGAAACCCUGAUGCAGCGACGCCGCGUGAGUGAAGAAGUAUUUCGGUAUGUAAAGCUCUAUCAGCAGGGAAGAAAAUGACGGUACCUGACUAAGAAGCCCCGGCUAACUACGUGCCAGCAGCCGCGGUAAUACGUAGGGGGCAAGCGUUAUCCGGAUUUACUGGGUGUAAAGGGAGCGUAGACGGCAUGGCAAGUCAGAUGUGAAAGCCCGGGGCUCAACCCCGGGACUGCUCUUGGAACUGCGUGGCUGGAGUGCAGGAGGGGCAGGCGGAAUUCCUGGUGUAGCGGUGAAAUGCGUAGAUAUCAGGAGGAACACCGGUGGCGAAGGCGGCCUGCUGGACUGCAACUGACGUUGAGGCCCGAAAGCGUGGGGAGCAAACAGGAUUAGAUACCCUCGUA